Poecilia latipinna (sailfin molly) is the source of this 588-nucleotide long non-coding RNA. RefSeq lists it as uncharacterized. The transcript is spliced from 2 exons. The record is from RefSeq and is a predicted model, not a curated record. Lineage: Eukaryota; Metazoa; Chordata; Actinopteri; Cyprinodontiformes; Poeciliidae.
AUUCCUUUUCAUAUUGUUACAACUAUAUUGUUGUAUUAUUACAAUUUCAUUCUCAUGAUUUUUAAUGUUCUAUUCUGAUUAUAUGACUUUUGUUUUAUUCUCGUAAAUUAAAACUAAAUCCCAGCCUGGCACUAAUACAGCGUCUGGCAGGUCAGUGAUGGGAAGAUAAAUUAUUUUAUUUGCCAACAGCUGACAUGUCUACAACGGCCACCAGAGGGCAGAAGAGCAGCGGACGCUUCAGACAUGAUCACCGGUAAAAUUAGAGGUUUGGAGGAGACAGAGAGUCAGAGCACCGGCAGAACCACAUCCCCACUCUGAUCAGCUCUGCCCUCAGAUCCGGUCCAUGAGAACCAGAACAGGAUCAGAAACCCAAAGUGCAGCAGGAGCGAGCCGAGCUGAUCACAGACUUUCACCAUAAUCCUCCACACAACGCCUCCCAGAACUUUAAUCUUCACAAGAUCCACAAAACAAUCUUUAGUAAUUCCCCAUCAACCAACCAGCAGCUACUGAAGGUAAAAAAUGCACCGAAAAUAGUUUUCCUGAAUGUUUCCGAAACAAAACUCAACACAAUAAAGUUUCUGGAUUUUC